This is a non-coding RNA of Arachis ipaensis, 1098 nucleotides long. NCBI's taxonomy places the organism in Eukaryota, Viridiplantae, Streptophyta, Magnoliopsida, Fabales, Fabaceae. The record is from RefSeq and is a predicted model, not a curated record.
UCUCCUCGACGGGCGCGGUGCUCAAUCGCAAGAAACCCCUAUCCCUUCUCUUCUCCUUCUUAUUCUUCCUCUAUUCCUCUGUUUCCAGAUAAGGUGGACCCUCCGUUUGUAGUGUUGUCAUAGGAGCCACGGGUGAGCUCACAAGAGGGAAGAUUUUUGCGGCUAUAUUCGCUCUCUACUACAGUGGCUUCCUUUUUCAUACCAUCAUAAUCAUUGCUUGCCAUGACUUGGGAUCCCCCUUUUAGUUAUUUGAUGCCAUAGUAUUGGAAGACAUAAUCAGCAUCUUCCUUACUUCUGCAUUUCUUAAACUUAUUCAAGGUAUGUUGCUGAUUGAUGUCAUUAAUGUUAGUUUAAUUGGAUGUGCCAAAAGAAGUUAAUUUAGUUGGCUAAUAUAGUCAUAAUAGAAUAAUUUCUCCUUUUCAACAGCAAUUUUAGACAUCACCUUUUUACAUGGAAAGCCAGAUAUACAAUGGAAUAUUCUCAAAAAGUGAAACUCUUGAUGAAGCUGAUCUUUGCUCUUAUAUGGACUAUUGUUCUUCCUGUUUGCUAUGCUAAUUCAAGAAGAAAAUAUACUUGUUAUUCUACUAAGUAUGGAACCUUGGUUGAGGAAUGGUGCUUUACAUCCUAUAUGGUUGCGGCAGCCAUAUACUUAACAAGUUCAUGAGUAUGCGAUACUUCUAAAUCUGGGCUCCCUUCAAGCAAUAUCAAUGAAAGAUUGUGUACUUAUAUUUGAAUAUAAUCGUAAAGGAGGGCAAGCUUUUCUGGAGUCAUUGUUGCCCAGGUUGAACCCCAAGAACAGUAACGGAGGGCUAUCAAUGCCAUUUGAACUCGAAAUUUGGCUACAACUUGUUUAUAGUUGGAUGAGGUUUUCUGAAGAGAUAAAGGAGAUUCUUGGGACAAUAGUGAAGCACAAAGUCCUUUUAGUUUCAAAUGAAAAAAUUAGUUUUUUUUGUUCAAGUUUAUCAUGAGAAAAACAUGUAUUUUAUUUGCUUAUGUUUAAUUUUUAUUUGACUUGGUAACUUAGCAAGUAUAUGUUAAUUGAUACUUGGAACACCUUUCUAUAUACAUGCAAUAUAUAUUAUUAGCCUAUUCUCCCUA